RNAcentral lists this ribosomal RNA (164 nucleotides) under uncultured bacterium. RNAcentral describes it as "partial 16S ribosomal RNA". It matches the Rfam family "Bacterial small subunit ribosomal RNA", at positions 342 to 503 of the family's 1533-position model. The record is from RNAcentral.
CGGGAGGCAGCAGUGAGGAAUAUUGGUCAAUGGGCGAGAGCCUGAACCAGCCAAGUAGCGUGCAGGAAGACGGCCCUAUGGGUUGUAAACUGCUUUUAUGUGGGGAUAAAGUGAGCUACGUGUAGUUUAUUGCAGGUACCUCAUGAAUAAGGACCGGCUAAUUC